AACGAACGCUGGCGGCAUGCCUAACACAUGCAAGUCGAACGAGACCUUCGGGUCUAGUGGCGCACGGGUGCGUAACGCGUGGGAACCUUCCCUUAGGUUCGGAAUAACUCCCCGAAAGGGGUGCUAAUACCGGAUAAUGUCUUCUGACCAAAGAUUUAUCGCCUUUGGAUGAGCCCGCGUUGGAUUAGCUAGUUGGUAGGGUAAAAGCCUACCACGGCGAGGAUCCAUAGCUGGUCUGAGAGGAUGAUCAGCCACACUGGGACUGAGACACGGCCCAGAAUCCUACGGGAGGGAGCAGUGGGGAAUACUGGACAAUGGGCGAAAGGAUGAUCCAGCAAGGCCGGGUGAGUGAUGAAGGCCGUAGGGUUGUACAGCUCUUUUACCCGGGAUGAUAAUGACAGUACCGGGAGAAUAAGCUCCGGCUAACUCCGUG
RNAcentral lists this ribosomal RNA (433 nucleotides) under uncultured bacterium. RNAcentral's name for it is "partial 16S ribosomal RNA". It matches the Rfam family "Bacterial small subunit ribosomal RNA", at positions 29 to 507 of the family's 1533-position model. The record is from RNAcentral.